AGGAGCCCCAGAUUUGGGGAAUGAAUCCUACUGGAGCUCAAGUUCUCUCCAUGGGUUUGGUCCCAACCUCAUGGCUCCGGAGGUAAGGCUAAAGAGCAAUGUCUUGUUCUGCUCAUGUUGAAGAUUUUGUUCCUAGAGUCAGCACAAGGCCUUCAUACCUGGCUGAAAGGUGGAGAUGGACAAGGAGAUGGACUGGAAGGAUGAGAUCUGGGAACCACAAGGGCAAGCCUGUGUGAUGCAUUCCUCCUCCUCACCUUCCCCCUAUGAAGGGUGGGAAGAAGAACUUUGGAUAAAAGCCUUGCUCCAGGGCAAGAAAAAGACCCAAACUGCAACUUUACAUAAAUCUGUCACUUUGAUUCCCCUGAGAACAACUGCAAACUUGAAAAAUGGCAUAGCAAAGCAGGCACAGGUGUUAACUUCUCUUUUUUUAAUUGGAUAAAAAAAAAAGAAGUUGCUGUGAACAGCCUCCACAAUCUGCUUUCUUUCUCUCAGCUUUAAGCUUCAUUCGUUCUUCUAUGACUAUUAUUGUGUGGAUAAAAGUCUUAUUUGUAAAUCAGGAAAGAAACUGUAAUGGAGAAGUUGUCCUAUACCAGUAUCUGCUGUGAAACCCCCAUUAACCACCCUUUGCUGCUUCAGCUGUUUUAUUCUCUAGAUGGAACAAUUUGUGAGGGUGCUUUUGCUCUCACUCACUUUUGAAUGUAAAUGCAUCAAAGAUUUGCUCAGCUUGGCUUGGGGGUGGGAGGGCAGCCUCUGAAGAGACUCAGUUAUGUCUUUCACCCCAAGGUCAGCUUUGUAUCCUGCAUUAAAUUUGG
Long non-coding RNA from Rhea pennata, 812 nucleotides. RefSeq lists it as uncharacterized. Lineage: Eukaryota; Metazoa; Chordata; Aves; Rheiformes; Rheidae. The record is from RefSeq and is a predicted model, not a curated record. The transcript has 3 exons.